Molecule: ribosomal RNA, 504 nt
Filed under: uncultured bacterium
Lineage: Bacteria
Description: partial 16S ribosomal RNA
Rfam family: Bacterial small subunit ribosomal RNA
Source: RNAcentral
AUUGAACGCUGGCGGCAGGCCUAACACAUGCAAGUCGGACGGUAGCACAGAGAGCUUGCUCUCGGGUGACGAGUGGCGGACGGGUGAGUAAUGUCUGGGGAUCUGCCCGAUAGAGGGGGAUAACCACUGGAAACGGUGGCUAAUACCGCAUAACGUCGCAAGACCAAAGAGGGGGACCUUCGGGCCUCUCACUAUCGGAUGAACCCAGAUGGGAUUAGCUAGUAGGCGGGGUAAUGGCCCACCUAGGCGACGAUCCCUAGCUGGUCUGAGAGGAUGACCAGCAACACUGGAACUGAGUCACGGUCCAGACUCCUACGGGAGGCAGCAGUGGGGAAUAUUGCACAAUGGGCGCAAGCCUGAUGCAGCCAUGCCGCGUGUAUGAAGAAGGCCUUCGGGUUGUAAAGUACUUUCAGCGGGGAGGAAGGUGAUGUGGUUAAUAACCGCGUCGAUUGACGUUACCCGCAGAAGAAGCACCGGCUAACUCCGUGCCAGCAGCCGCCGUAA